GGGAUUCGGAACCCGUCAAUUCGUGGCAGUGCUGUGGCAGGCCUAGUGAAGAGAAUACGGUCCGUGAUACGUCUAUCUGCCGCACAGGCGUAUUCUGUUCCACCCAUUUCUUUUACCUGUUCGCACGCCUAGAAAAGACGACGUGUCCUGCACCAGAAAGGCUGGCCCAUGUCCGUGACCUUAUCCCUAACUCGUGAACAAGCCGUCGCCGCACACCUGCUCUGCCCCUCCGUCUCUCUCUCUCUCUCUCAAAUCCGACGGCGGCACUGGUUUCUCUCCGGCGAGCAUCUCCCUGGCCCCUUGGCCCUACCCACGUACCCGGUGGUCGUGGGCAAUUCGUCUCCACACGCCGGCUCUGCCGUUGGGUCUCUUUUCCCCCAACCUUGACGGCGCCAGGGUUUGUUCUCCGGCGAGAUGUGCUCCUUUGGUGUUGAGGUGCCACGGGAUCCAUGUUUGGGACGUCAGAGCCGAUUCCUGAUGUAUUCCCCGUGGAGUCGCGGGAUUUCAUGAGCAUCGCCGAUACCCAGCUGGGCCGUGGCAGCGAGGGCACACAUCUGUGCGGGGACGCCUGCUUAGGUUUGCUCAGAAGCCACCAGCGGCUGGACCAUUAGCGGCUGUCCCCCGUGGAUGAGUUUGCCCAAGCGCGGCAAGGUGGACCAUACAUGUAAUGAAGGGCCCCAAAUCUUCCAGUCGGAUGGAGUCAGGGGCUUCUCUUAGUAUCAUCGAAGCUGAAAUUUGCAACACUGCUGAGCUUGGAAGCGGUGGGCAAAGUGGUGGAUUCCCCCCUGAAGCCGGUGUGUUCCAAGUUUGCGCUGAAGCUACUAGUGGAUGGACCAUGUAUUUUUGUCAAAUUCUUAACAAUGUCUCUGUAGUUCUUUGUGAUUUACUACAACAAUGGCUCCUAUACUAUUUAGUCGCUGAAAAUUCCAUUGUUAUCAAGAGCUUCCUCUUAUUCUUAGUAAUUCAUACGGCACAGUUCUGUCUAUUGAAGCUGUCCUAUUGACAAAUGUUGCUGUUUCAUAUGAUACUCUCUUGACAGCAGGAACCUGAUUCAUGUAUGAUUUUGAAAUGGUCAAUCCUUUUCUGGUCUGCACAUUUGUUGGAAUUUUAUGGAGCCAACUCUGUUCACGAAUGAUGCAAUAAUUGAAGAUAUGAAGAAGGCUUACAUGGACGCGCAAGAGAUUGAGGAGUAGAACAAAUAAGCUUUAUGCAAUGAAUAAUUUGCAAGGCAAGGUUCUCCAUGCCUGUAUGUACAUUGCUGCUUUUGGAAUUUGGCAGUUGCUUACUGUGGCCAGGGUGACAGACUGACAUCACGUGAGCUUGGUCAGUUGGGCAGCACAUGCUGGUAUGGGGCAUUGGGUGAUCACCACCAUAGAACAACUGUUGGACAUGUACUACAAGCUAGAUUCUGUCCCUAUCGCUAGCCCGGAAUACACGCGCUGGAAAGGCUCUACGGUGGGGCAGCAUGCGUGAAUACAGGGCCAGCUCGGAUCCCAAGCAUGGACGGGCGGCCUGGAUUCCGGCCUGCCUGAUGCUCGGCCUCCAUUCGCAUUUUCCGAAUAGCUUGUUCUUUCUAUUUGAGAGUAGUAUUUUAUUGUAUUAAGAACCUCUGCUUAUCAUAUUCAGUACUGUAUUAUAAGUGUGAAUAUUUAGACUAUGUAUCGUCUAACAUAAAGUCUCAGACUAUGUGUACAUAUUCUGUAUGAUUGCUUCAGCAUUUUAUUUUA
Triticum dicoccoides is the source of this 1727-nucleotide long non-coding RNA. RefSeq lists it as uncharacterized. Lineage: Eukaryota; Viridiplantae; Streptophyta; Magnoliopsida; Poales; Poaceae. The transcript is spliced from 5 exons. The record is from RefSeq and is a predicted model, not a curated record.